AGAGUUUGAUCCUGGCUCAGGAUGAAUGCUGGCGGAGUGCCUAACACAUGCAAGUCGAGCGGCAGCGGGAGUAGUUUACUACUCGCCGGCGAGCGGCGGACGGCUGAGUAACGCGUGGGAAUGUGCCCCAAAGUGAGGAAUAACUGCCCGAAAGGGUAGCUAAUGCCGCAUAUGAUCUUCGGAUUAAAGGAUUUAUCCGCUUUGGGAGCAGCCCGCGUCAGAUUAGGUAGUUGGCGAGGUAAAGGCUCACCAAGCCGACGAUCUGUAGCUGGUCUGAGAGGAUGACCAGCCAGACUGGAACUGAGACACGGUCCAGACUCCUACGGGAGGCAGCAGUGAGGAAUCUUCCACAAUGGGGGAAACCCUGAUGGAGCAACUCCGCGUGCAGGAUGAAGGCCUUCGGGUCGUAAACUGCUUUUAUGAGUGAAGAAUAUGACGGUAACUCAUGAAUAAGCACCGGCUAACUACGUGCCAGCAGCCGCGGUCAUACGUAGGGUGCAAGCAUUAUCCGGAGUGACUGGGCGUAAAGAGUUGCGUAGGUGGUUAGUAAAGCGAAUAGUGAAAUCUGGCGGCUCAACCGUACAGGCUAUUAUUCGAACUCACUAACUCGAGAAUGGUAGAGGUAACUGGAAUUUCUAGUGUAGGAGUGAAAUCCGUAGAUAUUAGAAGGAACACCAAUGGCGUAGGCAGGUUACUGGACCAUUUCUGACACUGAGGCACGAAAGCGUGGGGAGCGAACCGGAUUAGAUACCCUGGUAGUCC
RNAcentral lists this ribosomal RNA (762 nucleotides) under uncultured bacterium. Its description in RNAcentral is "bacterial SSU rRNA". It matches the Rfam family "Bacterial small subunit ribosomal RNA", at positions 8 to 796 of the family's 1533-position model. The record is from RNAcentral.